AGAUCUUAUUUUAACUGAUGUUGUCAUUUAAGAAUCUUAGGAAAUAAUGGAAUGCUUAAGCCAAGUAGUUAUGCCCCUCCACAUAAGGAAUGGAUUGAUUGAAGAGCAACUGCCAAAGAUGUCUCUAUCAGAUGACUGAGUUGAAAACUGGGGCCUGACGGAGAGACGUGGAGGCGUGGCCAAAAAAUUAUGACUCAGUCUCCAGGCAGAUCAGAUUGUAUCAAGCCAUUCCUGGACUAUUCCGCAGCUGAAAAGAAUCGGCGUUUAGGAAGGAGAAGCAGCAGAUGAAGAAUAUAGGCCCAUGGAACAAACCUUUAAUCAUUUAGAAUAAAACACCUGUUUUCUUAGUCAUAAAAGUAUUUGCUCAUACAAA
Pantherophis guttatus is the source of this 373-nucleotide non-coding RNA. Lineage: Eukaryota; Metazoa; Chordata; Lepidosauria; Squamata; Colubridae. The record is from RefSeq and is a predicted model, not a curated record.